Molecule: long non-coding RNA, 3657 nt
Organism: Rhincodon typus (whale shark)
Lineage: Eukaryota; Metazoa; Chordata; Chondrichthyes; Orectolobiformes; Rhincodontidae
Exons: 2
Source: RefSeq, a predicted model, not a curated record
GAUCAUCUGAUAGGUUACUAAGUAACCAUUGUUCUUGGCUACGUUUGCACUAAUGAGAGUGACAAAAUUGGAACCAGGUGGUGGUCUGUUUCAUGCUCUCUCCAGCUGAAAUAUGCCACAUUGGAAAUGUACCAUUCCUAUCAUUUUUAGUUUGUAUGUGCAACUGUGCUUUUUAAAAUGAAAUGGUUAGUUCUUAUGAUAUCAGUGUAGUUAUUCGUAAUUUGGGGUUUUGUUCUACUGUACAAGUAAUUUCUUGUUAUCAGAAUGUCAGCUUUUAUGUUUUGUUAUCUCAACAGGUAGAAAGUUUGUCAGUAUAAUAAUGCGUUACUGGUACCUGACUGAUGUUGACCUUCCUGAUGAGACACCUGAGGGAACAAAAGUCUUUCAAGUCGUCUUUGGUGAUGAAGGCAGCAAAGACAGCUUACGCCUUCUCACAGCCAAUUAUGAAUUUCGGCGUGAAUUCACACAAGGUGUGGAACCAGAUUGGAUCAUUACAAGGAUACAACAUUUCAAAUUAUUGGAGUGAUUCUGCUGAAAAUCUCACUGUAAGGAUAUUACUGCAUAAUUCACAGCCAACAAAGAUCUGCAAGACUGAGCCCUUUUGAGCUGUAAUUGUUUUUAAUCCUGUAAAAUUCAAGCAUCAAAUUAGAUGCUGAUAUUACAUGAAAGCACUUUCUAUGCUGUGUAACUAUUGUAACUGAUACCUAAAUUGUAAUUAUUUGUCACCAUAGAAUUGCAAAGCCUUUAUGAUUUUUUUUUUUUGAAAAAAUCAUGCUAAUGGUGGACCUCCUGAUAUCUCUUCAAAUGAGUUUGAUUUAGUAUUCUCAGCAGAGAGGUGUAAGUGGACCUAGACAAUGGCUGUUUUCUGGUGCUUGCAACAUAAUUGUCACUACAAAAUUACAGCAAAUAUACAAACACUCCUCAAAGGUGUGCCGUGAUGGGGAUGGAGGAGGAGAAAGUGGAUAGAUACUUUGUUGCUUCCUGUAGAAUGUCGAACAGCUAGAAGUUAAUAAGCUUAUUCUAGUAAUCCGAAUACCUUUAAGUUCUUGAACAAGAUUGUAAGGUAAUUACAAAUCUAGGAAGUUGGUUAACCCAUCCUAUUACAUAAUCCAAUUGGUUUUUAAAUGGAAACAGAAAUCCUAUGAAUCACUCUACCGGAAAUCUGCAUGAGACAGACUUUCUAAUAUUGAUUCUAAAAUUUCCUUUGAUACUAUUGAUGCACAUCCCUGCUCCCUCACCCCAAAUCGUAGUCAAACAAUUUAUUUUUCAGGAGCCACUUAACUCUUGGCCCUGUAGAUUUUCUCUUCAUUGCAUCCAGGUCUUGAAUAUAUCCAUUAUGUCUUACUGACCACAACUGGACACAAUGAUCAAGCUAUGACCAAAGCAUUAUAUAGUUUGAGCAAUGACUUCCCCGUUAUUUCACAGUUUCCUCUCUUUUUCUCUUUGAUAUGCAUCUAUUUGUCAUGUUUAACAUUUGGCCUAAUAAGAUUUCUGCUGCUUUAAACUUAAUCCAUGACUACAUCAGAAUCUUUCAAGGAGUAGAAAUGUUUCCUCCUUUUCUAUGCAAUAUCUUACAUGUGUCUGUAUUAAAUUUCAUCUGCCAAUUUCCUUUGCAUUUGCAACUUGUUCAACUCAUUUUCUAACUAUGACCUUUCUGGUUGAAGAACAGCCAAAUUUUCCAUAAAAUCACUUCCAUUAUGUAGUUGCCAAUGAGUAAUGAACAAACAUUCUCAAUAUUAAUAGGGUACACCACUUCUUUCUCUCCUGAGGUUGCUGACUUCUUCAUGCUUUUGGUUCCACAGGUAGUAACUGUUUUCCUCAGAGGUGUUCAUGUGUAAGUCGUUUGCUGCAAUUUUCCACUGAUGCCGUGACCACCGGAUGAUUAUCCGGUGGCUGUUAUGCAUUAUUUUUCUUUUCCUGCUCGUUAGAACAACUGGUUUCUGUGUACUAUGUUGCAAUAAUCCAGCUGAAUUGGCAACCCUCUGUACAUUCUGGUGCCUUCUGGUCUGCAAUGCUGUUUUUCAGAACAGGCAGAGCACUUACCAGCUGAGCAAUUGGAAAACUUAAUAUUUCAAAUUGGGAAAAUUUUCUGCCAGUCUAAACUGCCAGACUCAGCUGAUUAUAACUGAAGUGCAGCACAAGGAACUAUUUUUUUGACUGCUACCAUCUUCCCACUUGCUACAUGCAGCUAGUUCUUAAAUAAUUCCAGUGUCUUGUUCUUGGUCAUGCUUCCUGUAACUAUUCUUGUAACUUCAGGCUAUUGAACAGCUUCUGUAAAGAAGUGUUUCCUAAAUGUGGUCUCCAGAGUAAGCCCUAUAUUGGGCAGUGCUUAUGAAAUCAGUUAUCAUCAUUGACUAGUCUUAGGAAAAUACUGCCAAUGCCUUACACGUUAAAUGGUCAAUAUUUUGUUUGAUUCAAAUAUCCAGUUCCCGUCUAAUGUGGAAUGAAAGAAGCUGGAUGAUAUUUCAACGAAGAGUGAAGAGAAGAUCGAUGAACAAAUUAAUUUGUUCCUUUUCACAUUCUUUCUACUUUUAUACAGAAAAAAAAAUAACCUAUGAGAAUCCAUCUAUCAUCUGAGAGUUAAGGUUUCAGUUAAAGAUGUGCUAGGCUGGGUCCUCCAAACUAGGAGACUUUUUGGGUCAAAUUCAUUCACCACCCUGUUAACUGAACAAAGAUAAUACACAUGCAGGUUGAAAAUAGUUUGACAAUGUUUUUCGUCUAAUCUCAAGAAUUGUAUAUGCAGUGAUCCUUUUAUAAUUGUCUUAUUUAUAUUGUAGCAGAUGUAGAUUGGCUGCUUUCCAUUUAUUAAUGUGUUUUGAUUACUCCCAAUGGGAGUAUUAUUGUGAGGGACUACUGUACUUGAAAUGCAGUGACAUAUUUACAGAAAGUCUUUGCUGUAUCCUCCGUUGGAGAGUAUUACUUCCAGUGUUUACUAUGGUUCGGUUUCACGGGGUUCAUUUUGUACAGGUUUGAAGGAAAUGGCUCAUUGCUUGGUUACUUUGCAAAACCUAUGAACAUUUAUUACAGGUUGAAAAUAAGUGAUUUGAAGAAGUGUUUUCAUCCUGUAUUAUCCUUCAAUGUAACUGUUGCAUCCAGUGACAUGCUAUUUUAAAUAACAUCCCAAAAAUGAACUAAUUUAAUAAAAUAAAUGAGCAACAGUCUUUUUUUUAAAAAUAGCACCUGGAACACACAUCGGUGUUUCAGCAGAAACUUAUCAAAUUAAACCAAAAUGUUGUUCUGAAGGGAGAUGAUACACCCUAGCCCCCAUACAUCUGUUCACUGCCUGCAUUUGCACCCUGUCCCCCUUGAUUCCACACAUUCUAUUUGAAUUGUCUGGAAGCUAAUUCUACAGUAAGGGGACAAGCCUGUUACUUAACCCUACACUGUUCUGGAGUACUGCCUGACAGCUGGUAGCUACAGCAUAGUGGAGUGAGGAUCAGAUAAAACUCCUCUUUCGGAAAGGAUUCAGAAAUUAUGGAACUGAAUUCAAAAAGAGAAAGUCGGAGCUCAACUGCCAAUAACUCUGAAUUUACUGAAAGGUAACCUAUUAGUAUUUGGUUUUAAGUUGUUAAUUAUACUGACUUGUUUGCAAUUGAAAAAAAAUUUUGGGUGAUUUUGUAAAAAUAAAUAAAUAUCCAUCUAAUGGUGCUAGCUUCA